AGGGAGGCUCAGGGAGCCAUAUCAAAAAGUACAGCUUUGUUUUCAGUCCUGUUACAGGGUAUCCAUGGAAACGAGGAUGACUUUCCAAUCCUUUUCUGGGGAAGGCACUGCAUUCACUGCAAUACAGUCUCUUCAACUAAAAUUUUGCAAAACAGCUCCCCAGGGUGACUGCUUUUUAUCCAAAAAGCCUGCAGUACAGCUGGCUGGAGGGAGCUAGCCCCUUUUAACCCUCCCACAAAACUGGCAUUUCUCAGCAGGUCUGGGGAUCCUGCUUUCCAGCUGGAUUUCAUGGGAGAGGAGAGCAGCCAGCAUCUCCUGCUGACACCAAACCCCUUCCCAAGGUGCCUGGGGGUGGAGGGAGGUGGUGGUGACGAGGUGGGCAGGGUGAGUGGAGGCCCUGGGGGAAGGCAGACAAAUUCCUCCCCUGGCUUCAGGAGCAGGGCUGGUUUGGGGACAUCAGGGCUAAAGAUGGGUGGCAUGUGUGAAUAUGUGAUGCCAGGAAUCUGACAGGGAAAUCUUGUUCUGCUUAGAGAUGGAAAAUCUCUGGAAGUUUUAAAGGCAUGAGGAGGAAAAUAUUUUUUUAAAAAACCCACCAAAUUUAGGAAAUUCAAAUAAUUUCAGUAGUUAUGCUGCUUAUAAGAAUUAUUGGGUUUUUAAUUCUUUACGGGUGAAAAUAUGAUUUAUGCAGUUAGCUCAACAGAGGAGGUGAUGGAUACAUUUACAAAGCUGAGUUUCAGUUUUUAUUUUCAAACUGUGAGUGACAUGACCACUGUAUGCUAGGCACUUACUUGUACACGUGUUGCCUACUAACAUAUUUCUAACUUAAAGAAAAGAAAAUGCUGAAAAAUUAAAAGGAGCCAUCUAGCUGGUUUUUAAGUAAGAAAGAAGGCUGUAUCCUACCUCAAGAUAUCAACAAAUUUAAGAGAAUAGAGCAAAAGCUUGAAAAAUUAACAUUUGCUCUCUCUCUCCUUAGUGUCUGUGAGGCAGCUGACACAACAGCAGCCAAAACCAUCAUUAAAUUAGGUAUAGAAGCUGAGAGUCUGUAAGCAUUUUAAUUGCUUGAUACCAUGCAGGUUUGAAAUAAAAGACCUUCAUUUGAAAUAUUUUAGUUAUUGAAAGCAUUUUGAAGAGCUGAGAAUGGCAGCAGUCAUGUCGUGUUAAACAUUUCUCUAACCUUCCCUGUUCACUCUGAGCAAAAUUAAUUUACAAGAAUGUUUCUUCUACAUUUCUUCUCCAAGUAUACAGUUUUCCAUAUAAGAAAAAGAUAUUAAUUAAACAGGCUUUUUUUUUUCUCUCAAGCCUUGCAUUUUUCCCAGUCUCCUAUAUCUCAGUUGGCUCUUGAUCCUCCCACAUUAAGAGUCCCUAGACUGGAUUUUCCUGUUGAUCAAGGGAAUGGGGUCUUGUAACCAGACAUGUCAUAGCUCACAUUUGUCACCUUGCUCCCAUUAGUUAGAAAAGGGAUUUGUGCAUCCAAACUUGCAGAGAUUUGGCCCCACUGUUGUUCUGUGCCUGUGUGCCAUUACUGAAUAAAGGAGAAGGAUUUGUUUUGGAUUAUUUGCUUUCCUAACAAUUUGUUGCUCUGGUUUCCUAUGGAAAUCUGUAACUCCACCUGCACUCUCCUAGUGCAGCUGCCACACCUGGCGACCACUUCUCCAGUACUGGGGCUCUGGUGGGGACACAGUGGGGACACAGGACAGACAGGGGAUGUUCCUGGGCAUGUCAUGGCUCUGUGGGCUGGGGCCUGGUGGCCCUGACCUCUCCUUGUGAGAGAAGGAUGGGUUGGAAAAGCCAUCAGGCUUCGUGACCCCAAGGCAGGACGAGAGCCGCUGGGUCUGCAUGCCUGAGCCUCUGCCACCCCCUUUCAGCACUGCUGCCAGAGCAAAGGGAUUAUAUUGCAAUCCCUCCCAUUGGGAAUCUGCUUUUCUGUGAGGAAACACGCUCAUUAGCCAGGCAAAAAUAAAGAUGCUUAAAAAGAGGUCAUGCUCUCGGGCUCCUGUGAAAUCACAUCUGAUAGCAAGCCUCUCCGUGGCUCUUUUUUCUCUGAGGCACUGCUUAAUUAAACUUGAGCCCCACUGCUCCCCAGCCAGGCUCCAAAACAAAAGCCAGGUGGCUGGGUGGGCACUCCCCUGCUGCAGCUUUGUGCCAGCCCCACUGCCAGCUCCAGCAGCACAGCUGGGACUCCUGGUGCUCACUGGGAUCUGUCCCUUCCCUGCCCCUCGGUCACAGCACGGGGAGACACAGGAGGGGGACAGUCCCCAUUUCUGGGGCUCUUCUUCAGCAGGGACGUCCCCAGUACACAACAUUACACCACAAACCCAGUGUAAAGUUUUGCCCUACCCUUAAGAAGAUUAUUUUCCCUCUCUGCAGGUCAUUUUGGUGGACCUGGUGGUUCAGAACAGCAAAGCAAAGCAAGGAAUAGGAGACAGCACCAAAACCACUAAAAUCCCCCCUUCUCUCCAAAGCAGACUAUCUUCUGCAGCUUUCUUUGUCACAAAACUCCCUUCCUUGCAUCUGAUGUGGGAUUCAGCAGCCAGACAGCAGUACAAAAAGGCUAGACUUGAUGUUUGUUUGGUGGCUGCACAGAGCCCAUAGAAAUGUGUCUGAGGGUUUUUUUCCUUCCUAUUCAAAGCUUUACCUCCUGCUGAGUCACCAGAGGCUGGCUGAGGGAGUGUAUCAUGCAUAAUUAUUUGGAAAAGCAAUCUGACAUGCUAACUCCUGUCCCAAAAUGUGCAAUUUGUAAUAUACAGAAGGGCAAAACGCAACUUAAAUGCUUUAGAAGAUUCCUUGCCUCAUUUAAUUCUCUCAUGGCAGAUUUAACCAAGAGGCCAGGAAAAUACAGGACCCAACAGACACUUCCAGAACACAGCCCUUGGUGCUUUCUAAACACCUAAGAUGCCCUGUGCAGUGACUGGGAGGAGGCAGCUGCUUCAGUCCUUCUCUCAGCAGCAAACACCAGGAGGUGUGGAAUGACAGCCACAGGAUCAGAGGUGCUCUGUCUCCCUCAAUAACCCAGCAGGGGGAUGGGACCCUACACUUUGCACUUGCUGCCAUUCCUGAAUCUGAAGAGAACUCAUGAAGAAGCAAGCACAAUAAUUGAUUGGUUCUAUUAAUAUGUCCAAAACUGAUUUCCUGCACUGACCAUAGCUUAAUGAAUAAUUUUCCCAGCAAAGUUUGCAGGUACAGCUCCAAGCUGUGAUGGUCCUGUGGAGCACUGGCAGCAGUAAAACAUCCAACUGCUGGAUCCCUGCCUCCCUCUUGGUGUCUCCCCUUCCCUGCAUCCCAGUCUGAAUGGGUCUCUGGGAUGGUGAGUGGGACAAACAGGAGAAGCUAUCUGUGAAAAAUCUAUUAAAAUAAUGUUCCUGAUAGUUAGUGCAUUUGCAUGUGUAAUGGCUGAGGUGCUUUCCCUGGAUUAUGCCAUUGCCAGCUUGGGAAUGGCCAUAAGGCAUGUCUGCUCCAAACUAUGGUAAGCAUUACUGGAAGGUGCUGGGUGGAGCAGGGAGGGGGGCAGCUAUUAUGUGU
Non-coding RNA from Zonotrichia albicollis (white-throated sparrow), 3519 nucleotides. NCBI's taxonomy places the organism in Eukaryota, Metazoa, Chordata, Aves, Passeriformes, Passerellidae. The record is from RefSeq and is a predicted model, not a curated record.